Molecule: long non-coding RNA, 359 nt
Filed under: Ananas comosus (pineapple)
Lineage: Eukaryota; Viridiplantae; Streptophyta; Magnoliopsida; Poales; Bromeliaceae
Description: long non-coding RNA (ACOM_LNC023506)
Source: RNAcentral
CAGUUUUUUAAAAUUUUGAUUUAACUAUCCAAUAUUUCAAUUCUUUUUAUUUGAAUCAACCAAUGGUAUUUUGGCUUCAAAAUUUGAAUGUAUUAUUUAUCUUUACAUGUUUAGUUAGUAUACUUUAUUUAAUUCUCACAACUAUAAAUAAAGUUUGAAGUCAAGUUGUCAUUGACUUACCUAAACCAAAUAAAUUGAAAGGUUGAAUAAUAAAAUUAAAAAUUUGAAAGAUAAGAUAAUCAAAUCAAAAUAGUCUAUAAUUCUGAUAAGUUCUGUAUAUUUUUAUAUUUUAGUAAAUAAGUAAAGGUCAUCCUUUGCUUCUACAUAGCACAUUUUUCAUGUUAUAUAUAAACUUGAAU